This 492-nucleotide ribosomal RNA is filed under the name uncultured bacterium. Its description in RNAcentral is "partial 16S ribosomal RNA". It matches the Rfam family "Bacterial small subunit ribosomal RNA", at positions 29 to 507 of the family's 1533-position model. The record is from RNAcentral.
AGUGAACGCUGGCGGUAGGCCUAACACAUGCAAGUCGAACGGCAGCACAGUAAGAGCUUGCUCUUACGGGUGGCGAGUGGCGGGAGGGUGAGGAAUAUAUCGGAAUCUACUUUUUCGUGGGGGUUAACGAAGGGAAACUUAAGCUAAUAUCGCAUAUGACCUACGGGUGAAAGCAGGGGAUCUUCGGACCUUGCGCGGUUGAAUGAGCCGAUGUCGUAUUGGCUGGUUGGCGGGGUAAUGGCCCACUAAGGCGACGAUCCGUAGCUGGUCUGAGUGGAUGGUCAGCCGCCUUGGAGCUGAGACACGGACCAGGCGCCUAAGGGAGGCAGCAGUGGGGAAUAUGGGACAGUGGGCGCAAGCCUGAUCCAACCAUACCGCGUGGGAUAAGAAGGCGUUCGGGUUGUGAAGCCCGUUUGUUGGGAAUGAAAAGCAGCAGGUUAAGACCCCGCGGGUCUGACGGUACCCAAAGAAGAAGCACCGGCUAACUACGUG